CCUACGGGUGGCAGCAGUAGGGAAUAUUGCUCAAUGGGGGGAACCCUGAACCAGCAACGCCGCGUGGAGGAUGAAGGUUUUCGGAUUGUAAACCUCUUUUGGUAGAGAAGAAAAUGACGGUAUCUAACGAAUAAGCACCGGCUAACUCCGUGCCAGCAGCCGCGGUAAUACGGCGGGGGCAAGCGUUACUCGGAGUCACUGGGCGUAAAGAGAGCGUAGGCGGGAAUGAAAGUCAGAUGUGAAAUACUAUGGCCUAACCAUCGAACUGCAUUUGAUACUGUGAUUCUAGAGUAUGGGAGAGGUAGGUGGAAUUCUUGGUGUAGCGGUGAAAUGCGUAGAGAUCAAGAGGAAUACUCAUUGCGAAGGCGGCCUGCUGGACCAUAACUGACGCUGAGGCGCGAAAGCGUGGGGAGCAAACAGGAUUAGAUACCCGUGUAGUC
This 440-nucleotide ribosomal RNA is filed under the name uncultured bacterium. RNAcentral describes it as "partial 16S ribosomal RNA". It matches the Rfam family "Bacterial small subunit ribosomal RNA", at positions 338 to 795 of the family's 1533-position model. The record is from RNAcentral.